RNAcentral lists this ribosomal RNA (829 nucleotides) under Agrococcus sp. Its description in RNAcentral is "bacterial SSU rRNA". It matches the Rfam family "Bacterial small subunit ribosomal RNA", at positions 67 to 905 of the family's 1533-position model. Lineage: Bacteria; Bacillati; Actinomycetota; Actinomycetes; Micrococcales; Microbacteriaceae. The record is from RNAcentral.
CGAUGAAGGGGGAGCUUGCUCUCCUGGAUUAGUGGCGAACGGGUGAGUAACACGUGAGCAAUCUGCCCUUGACUCUGGGAUAAGCGCUGGAAACGGCGUCUAAUACCGGAUACGAGCUGCGAAGGCAUCUUCAGCAGCUGGAAAGAACUUCGGUCAAGGAUGAGCUCGCGGCCUAUCAGCUUGUUGGUGAGGUAAUGGCUCACCAAGGCGACGACGGGUAGCCGGCCUGAGAGGGUGACCGGCCACACUGGGACUGAGACACGGCCCAGACUCCUACGGGAGGCAGCAGUGGGGAAUAUUGCACAAUGGGCGCAAGCCUGAUGCAGCAACGCCGCGUGAGGGAUGACGGCCUUCGGGUUGUAAACCUCUUUUAGCAGGGAAGAAGCGAGAGUGACGGUACCUGCAGAAAAAGCACCGGCUAACUACGUGCCAGCAGCCGCGGUAAUACGUAGGGUGCGAGCGUUAUCCGGAAUUAUUGGGCGUAAAGAGCUCGUAGGCGGUCUGUCGCGUCUGCUGUGAAAACCCGAGGCUCAACCUCGGGCUUGCAGUGGGUACGGGCAGACUAGAGUGCGGUAGGGGAGAUUGGAAUUCCUGGUGUAGCGGUGGAAUGCGCAGAUAUCAGGAGGAACACCGAUGGCGAAGGCAGAUCUCUGGGCCGUUACUGACGCUGAGGAGCGAAAGCGUGGGGAGCAAACAGGCUUAGAUACCCUGGUAGUCCACGCCGUAAACGUUGGGAACUAGAUGUGGGGACCAUUCCACGGUCUCCGUGUCGUAGCUAACGCAUUAAGUUCCCCGCCUGGGGAGUACGGCCGCAAGGCUAAAACUCAAA